RNAcentral lists this ribosomal RNA (301 nucleotides) under uncultured bacterium. RNAcentral describes it as "partial 16S ribosomal RNA". It matches the Rfam family "Bacterial small subunit ribosomal RNA", at positions 509 to 808 of the family's 1533-position model. The record is from RNAcentral.
CAGCCGCCGCGGUAAUACGUAGAUCCCGAGCGUUGUCCGGAUUUAUUGGGCGUAAAGGGAGCGCAGGCGGUUUAGUAAGUCUGAAGUUAAAGGCAUUGGCUCAACCAAUGUAUGCUUUGGAAACUGUUAGACUUGAGUGCAGAAGGGGAGAGUGGAAUUCCAUGUGUAGCGGUGAAAUGCGUAGAUAUAUGGAGGAACACCGGUGGCGAAAGCGGCUCUCUGGUCUGUCACUGACGCUGAGGCUCGAAAGCGUGGGUAGCGAACAGGAUUAGAUACCCCCGUAGUCCCUGUCUCUUAUACA